This 244-nucleotide ribosomal RNA is filed under the name uncultured bacterium. Its description in RNAcentral is "partial small subunit ribosomal RNA". It matches the Rfam family "Bacterial small subunit ribosomal RNA", at positions 26 to 285 of the family's 1533-position model. The record is from RNAcentral.
AGAAUCAACGCUGGCGGCGUGCCUAACACAUGCAAGUCGAACGAGAAAGUGGAGCAAUCCAUGAGUAAAGUGGCGACCGGGUGAGUAACACGUGACUAACCUACCUUUUAGUGGGGGAUAACCUCGGGAAACCGAGGCUAAUACCGCAUAACAUCGCAAGAUCAAAGCAGCAAUGCGCUGGAAGAGGGGGUCGCGGCUGAUUAGCUAGUUGGCGGGGUAACGCCCACCAAGGCGAAGAUCGGUA